RNAcentral lists this non-coding RNA (21 nucleotides) under Arabidopsis thaliana (thale cress). Lineage: Eukaryota; Viridiplantae; Streptophyta; Magnoliopsida; Brassicales; Brassicaceae. The record is from RNAcentral.
UCUAAGAACUUCAACGACGGC